Molecule: ribosomal RNA, 677 nt
Filed under: uncultured Pseudoalteromonas sp.
Lineage: Bacteria; Pseudomonadati; Pseudomonadota; Gammaproteobacteria; Alteromonadales; Pseudoalteromonadaceae
Description: bacterial SSU rRNA
Rfam family: Bacterial small subunit ribosomal RNA
Source: RNAcentral
GUCGAGCGGUAACAUUUCUAGCUUGCUAGAAGAUGACGAGCGGCGGACGGGUGAGUAAUGCUUGGGAACAUGCCUUUAGGUGGGGGACAACCAUUGGAAACGAUGGCUAAUACCGCAUAAUGUCUACGGACCAAAGGGGGCUUCGGCUCUCGCCUUUAGAUUGGCCCAAGUGGGAUUAGCUAGUUGGUGAGGUAAUGGCUCACCAAGGCGACGAUCCCUAGCUGGUUUGAGAGGAUGAUCAGCCACACUGGAACUGAGACACGGUCCAGACUCCUACGGGAGGCAGCAGUGGGGAAUAUUGCACAAUGGGCGCAAGCCUGAUGCAGCCAUGCCGCGUGUGUGAAGAAGGCCUUCGGGUUGUAAAGCACUUUCAGUUGUGAGGAAAGGUUAGUAGUUAAUACCUGCUAGCUGUGACGUUAGCAACAGAAGAAGCACCGGCUAACUCCGUGCCAGCAGCCGCGGUAAUACGGAGGGUGCGAGCGUUAAUCGGAAUUACUGGGCGUAAAGCGUACGCAGGCGGUUUGUUAAGCGAGAUGUGAAAGCCCCGGGCUCAACCUGGGAACUGCAUUUCGAACUGGCAAACUAGAGUGUGAUAGAGGGUGGUAGAAUUUCAGGUGUAGCGGUGAAAUGCGUAGAGAUCUGAAGGAAUACCGAUGGCGAAGGCAGCCACCUGGGUC